This 938-nucleotide ribosomal RNA is filed under the name Hyphoderma subdefinitum. Its description in RNAcentral is "LSU rRNA". It matches the Rfam family "Eukaryotic large subunit ribosomal RNA", at positions 36 to 963 of the family's 3401-position model. The record is from RNAcentral. Lineage: Eukaryota; Fungi; Basidiomycota; Agaricomycetes; Polyporales; Hyphodermataceae.
UAGCAUAUCAAUAAGCGGAGGAAAAGAAACUAACAAGGAUUCCCCUAGUAACUGCGAGUGAAGCGGGAAAAGCUCAAAUUUAAAAUCUGGCAGUCUUGGCUGUCCGAGUUGUAGUCUGGAGAAGCGUCUUCCGCGCUGGACCGUGUACAAGUUCCUUGGAAUAGUACAUCAUAGAGGGUGAGAAUCCCGUCUUUGACACGGACUACCAGUGCUUUGUGAUGCGCUCUCAAAGAGUCGAGUUGUUUGGGAAUGCAGCUCAAAAUGGGUGGUAAAUUCCAUCUAAAGCUAAAUAUUGGCGAGAGACCGAUAGCGAACAAGUACCGUGAGGGAAAGAUGAAAAGCACUUUGGAAAGAGAGUUAAACAGUACGUGAAAUUGCUGAAAGGGAAACGCUUGAAGUCAGUCGCGUUGUUCAGAACUCAGCCUGGCUUCUGCCUGGUGUAUUUUCUGUUCGACGGGCCAGCAUCAAUUUUGAUCAUUGGAAAAAGGCCAGGGGAAUGUGGCACCCUCGGGUGUGUUAUAGCCUCUGGUUGCAUACAAUGGUUGGGAUUGAGGAUCUCAGCAUGCCUUUGGUCGGGGUUCGCCCACGUUCAUGCUUAGGAUGCUGGCGUAAUGGCUUUAAACGACCCGUCUUGAAACACGGACCAAGGAGUCUAACAUGCCUGCGAGUGUUUGGGUGGAAAACCCGAGCGCGCAAUGAAAGUGAAAGUUGGGAUCCCUGUCGUGGGGAGCACUGACGCCCGGACUUGACCUUCUGUGACGGAUCCGCGGUAGAGCAUGUAUGUUGGGACCCGAAAGAUGGUGAACUAUGCCUGAAUAGGGUGAAGCCAGAGGAAACUCUGGUGGAGGCUCGUAGCGAUUCUGACGUGCAAAUCGAUCGUCAAAUUUGGGUAUAGGGGCGAAAGACUAAUCGAACCAUCUAGUAGCUGGUUCCUGCGA